AUGCCUAAACUCUUCCUUUUUAACUCUGUAGCCUUAGCAGAUGGCUUUAAAACACUUGCCAAAUUAAAAAAUGGAAGGAUCGGUGUUGAGGAUUUACAAAUAAUUAUGAAGAGCUUCAACAUGAUCUUGUCCUCCAAAGAUUUAUCAGAGGCUUUGGCCUUUUGUAGUGUUGAUGACGACAAGACAGUAGAUCUGAAGGACUUUCUCAGGGGGGUGACUUAUACUGGUACUUUUAUUACUAAUCCAGGUAAGUGAACAGAUCUCUCUCAAAAUGGCUUGGGUGACGCAUAGCUACAAGAUUCUGAGCUAAUGAGUGUUUUCUUUCUACAAAAGAUAAAAAGAAAUAUCUACCCCAAUUUCUGGAGUGCUGUAUGUUGCACUGGGAAAAGGUUUAGAGAGGGUGAUGUGACAGGAGAGGACACAGGCAAAGUGAACUGUGAAUUAUAAUGGAGCAUAGCCCAGCUAGGCCCCUUCUCCAAUUUUGCCCCCCUAGAACUUGUACAAUCAGAAUUUUUGAGAUCGGCCCUGCAAGUACAAAAAUGAGUCUCCAAUACCAUUCUGCAAUUGGAGACAGCCUUCAUGAAAGUGGAGGCCAGAGUGUGGGUGGUCAUACUGAACUACUGGCCACUGCGAUCCCCCUGUUCUUGCCCCACUAACCAUGAAGGAUGAUUUCCAGUCCACAUAGAAACAACUGAGCAUGUGCUCUUCCAGUGCCUGUUCUACAGGGACAUUCGAUCCAGGCUCAUCCUGACUUUGCUAUAUAAUUACCCAGGCCGUUCAGGACAAUUGUACACCAACCUGCUUCUCUCAGAUACCAACCCAGUUAUAACCUACAAUGCUGCCAAGUUUUAAAAUCACUUAAAAUCCGCCGAGUGAUGACUGGAUCCAAAAGUUAACAAUCUAAGUAUCAGCUAACUGAAAUGCAAAUCAGUUCUUCACACCCAAGUCCCCUAGACUUGUGUCCUGAAUGCUCCUACCCUCCCAUCAAUCUCCCUCCCUCUCCAUCCCUUUUUAGACCUCUACCUUCUCUCAAUAGUCUUGAGUUUUAGCCCUCAACAUACCUUUGUUUUUUUAUAGUUUUAGAUUUUAAUAUACAAUGCUUUUAUGAGACUGUACCCCACUUAUUCUGGUCUAUGACCGUAAUAAUGAUUUUGAUUUUGAUUUGAUUUGAUAAGGGGGCAUGUAAUCCCACACAUCUGAAUACCACCUGGUUAGGGAAAGCUGCAUUAAGUUAUUCUACUGUAUCUUGAUGACCUUGGAGACUGUGUUUUGACAGAACUACAGCUGACAUGUAUAGCUCUGAGCAAACUCCAAGGGGACCAGUUAGACCUCUAUGCUCUUGAGUCUACCCUGAGCAGCAUGGAUCUUCCAGAGGCGAAUGAGUUACUGCAGGAAGUGAUGAAGACAGCCCAGGUUGAUGGUAAGCCUUCCAAAUGGCACAUGAGAUUUCCCUCAGACAUUAAGAAAUAGUUUGCUGUAUUCUUCAGAGUUUGGAAAUCUUGGUUGUUUGACCACAACUCCCAGAGUCCAAAUAAGAUUUUUUCCCCCAACCUCUUCUGGUCCUAUCUGAUCUAUAUUUU
This is a long non-coding RNA of Anolis carolinensis (green anole), 1580 nucleotides long. The record is from Ensembl. Lineage: Eukaryota; Metazoa; Chordata; Lepidosauria; Squamata; Anolidae.